UACGUAGGGUGCAGGCGUUAAUCGGAAUUACUGGGCGUAAAGCGUGCGCAGGCGGUCUUUUAAGUCAGAUGUGAAAUCCCCGGGCUUAACCUGGGAACUGCGUUUGAAACUGGAAGGCUAGAGUGUGGCAGAGGGAGGUGGAAUUCCACGUGUAGCAGUGAAAUGCGUAGAGAUGUGGAGGAACACCGGUGGCGAAGGCGGCCCUCUGGACGGUGACUGACGCUGAGACGCGAAAGCGUGGGGAGCGAACAGG
Molecule: ribosomal RNA, 253 nt
Filed under: uncultured bacterium
Lineage: Bacteria
Description: partial 16S ribosomal RNA
Rfam family: Bacterial small subunit ribosomal RNA
Source: RNAcentral